GAUGAAGAACGUAGCGAAAUGCGAUACGUAAUGUGAAUUGCAAAUUCAGUGAAUCAUCGAGUCUUUGAACGCACAUUGCGCCCCCUGGUAUUCCGGGGGGCAUGCCUGUCCGAGCGUCAUUGCUGCCCUCAAGCACGGCUUGUGUGUUGGGCCCCGUCCUCCGAUCCCGGGGGACGGGCCCGAAAGGCAGCGGCGGCACCGCGUCCGGUCCUCGAGCGUAUGGGGCUUUGUCACCCGCUCUGUAGGCCCGGCCGGCGCUUGCCGAUCAACCCAAAUUUUUAUCCAGGUUGACCUCGGAUCAGGUAGGGAUACCCGCUGAACUUAAGCAUAUCAGCGGAGGA
Molecule: unclassified non-coding RNA, 341 nt
Filed under: soil metagenome
Description: partial contains 5.8S ribosomal RNA, internal transcribed spacer 2, and large subunit ribosomal RNA
Rfam family: 5.8S ribosomal RNA (bases 1-119)
Source: RNAcentral